RNAcentral lists this ribosomal RNA (458 nucleotides) under uncultured bacterium. RNAcentral describes it as "bacterial SSU rRNA". It matches the Rfam family "Bacterial small subunit ribosomal RNA", at positions 340 to 786 of the family's 1533-position model. The record is from RNAcentral.
UACGGAAGGCAGCAGUGGGGAAGUAUUGCACAAUGGGCGAAAGCCUGAUGCAGCUAUGCCGCGUGUAUGAAGAAGGCCUUAGGGUUGUAAAGUACUUUCAUCGGGGAGGAAAAAACAAAACUAAUAAUUUUAUUUCUUGACGUUACCCGAAAAAGAAGCACCGGCUAACUCCGUGCCAGCAGCCGCGGUAAUACGGAGGGUGCUAGCGUUAAUCAGAAUUACUGGGCGUAAAGAGCACGUAGGUGGUUUUUUAAGUCAGAUGUGAAAUCCCUGGGCUUAACCUAGGAACUGCAUUUUGAAACUGAAAUACUAGAGUAUCGUAGAGGGAGGUAGAAUUCUAGGUGUAGCGGUGAAAUGCGUAGAUAUCUGGAGGAAUACCUGUGGCGAAAGCGGCCUCCUAAACGAAUACUGACACUGAGGGUGCGAAAGCGUGGGGAGCAAAACAGGGAUUAGAUACC